This 220-nucleotide unclassified non-coding RNA is filed under the name Hevea brasiliensis (rubber tree). The record is from RNAcentral. Lineage: Eukaryota; Viridiplantae; Streptophyta; Magnoliopsida; Malpighiales; Euphorbiaceae.
CAACCUCCCUGAGGAUCCACCGGCGGUCAUUUUUCCCCAGCAAACACCCCUUCCUCCUUCAGCAGCUCUGCUUGGUUUUGCUUUUGAUUUCUCUCUCUCUCCCUCUGUAUCACGGGGAUAAUGCUUAGUGCUUUGUUGAAAUAUUGUAAGUGAGAACGGAAAAAGCUGCUCGUGCUGCUUCUUUAGAUUCUUCUCUUCCCUCGCGCCCUUUUGACACUCG